AAUAGUUUUACCUUAAAAUUCAGACUUUCUACUAAAAUAAACUGUAAUUUUGAUCUUAUUUCAACCUUUAUUUUUGUUUUUAUUUUUAUUGACAUAAAUGUGUUUUUCUAAAAUUUGAAUUCAGCCUUUACUGAAAAUGUCCAUAAAACCUCAAAAGUCACUCAAAUUGAAACAAUAUUUUGUUAAACGUUAUGGUUCACUACAAACUACUAUUCCUUAAUGGGAUUUUCGUUUCAAAUUAAUAUAAGCUUAUUUGAAUAAAAGAUGAAAAACUGAAAAAUAUACCUAAAAUUAUCUCCCUUUGUAAAACUCUUCACAAUAAAAGGUAGAUUUAAUGUCAAUAACAGAAGGAGGGAAAUCAACAAAUGUGCAGAAGGAUAGAAAAUAAUGGUAUUUUUGAUGAAAAUGGUGUAGCCAAAAACUUAUUUUCAUUGAAAGAGUGUAACAAAGACAUAGUAAACCAUGUGGCUAAGACAGUCCCACUGCCAUUGGGAUAAGUCUGAUCCUGAUCAGAUAGUCUAGACAUGACUUAUGAGGCUAGACUAUCACUAUCAUGUCUAGGUUUCAGACUCACAUAACAUAAUUUUAAAUGCAUAUGCUGCAAACAUGGACAGGAGUUGGAUUGCAUGGGACAAGAAGACAAAAUGAGUUGCUGUCAUCCUUUCAUGACCCUUGCAAAUCUAGCAACAAAAAUUCGAAGGCAAACCGUUCAGUUACAUUUGGUUCUGGUUAAUGUUGAAGAUGGAAAAGCACCAAAAAAAAUGUGAAAAUGAAAGCAGAUAUGAUAGGAGAUCAUAUAGACAUUUGGUGAUCCAAAAAUAACUAGAGUUCAUGAAACAAGACUGAUUGCUGGGACACAUUUUUGUUGAUAAACAUGUUUAUGAUGAAGAAAAACUUAGAUAAUAUUACGGAUACUUGAAUAAGGCUCUGAUCUGUCUUUGAUUUUUCCUGUUGGUGUUAAAAAAUUGCAAGCUCAAAUAAAAACAAAUUGAAAUGGAACUCAUAGAUAUGCUUUGAAAAAAAGAAAUAAACAGCAAUGUGAAUCUUGCCGAAGUCUUACCAACAACCACGUCAACACACAGUUGCAACACAAAUGAGAAGAGAGAGACAUUUGCAAGGACUUAGAGUGUUCUCACUGUCUCACCAUCAGAAUAGCUUUCUCAUCAGCAAAGAAGAAGUAUAAAAUUUCUUCAGUAUAAAAAGGUCAUCAAUAUUGAAGACAAUCAAGAAGAUUACGGUUGUACUUGGCCAUUUGAUAAAUAUUAAAAUAUUUUCAUUUGUCAGAAAUUGUUACUUAGAUUGACUAACUAGUUUUAUUGAUUGAAUUAUUAGUAAAUUACCUUUCGUAGUUCAUGUAGUUACAUGUAGGUAAAAAAAUUUCAGAUAGUAUGGAAACAAUUUAAUAUGUCCGUAAAUUCCAUACAUAAUGCAACAAUUGUCUUGUGCUGCUAAGUCAAUUUGAAUUAACUUUUAUUUUACUUUGUAUGUUUAUAGUAAUCUUAUUCUUGCAUUUAAGCAUCAUUUUGUGUUAUUGUAUCAUCUUCAUUGAUUGUUAAAUAUAAUACUAAUGCUAUAAAAAAAAUAACAUUUAUGAUCAUUUAAACAGAUUGAAUUAUUUAAAAAUAUAUCAAUGCUAAAAGGAAUUUAUAAAUUUAGACAUUUUUCGAGGAGAAUUUUAGAAAGUACUACAUCAAAAGCAAACCAAUAGUAUAUGCUCAAAUGCACUAUUAUCUUUCUCACCAGAUAACCAAAUAGAGAUAUGUUUAUAUUUUAUUAAAUUGAUGAAGCUUAUGUUAGUUUAAAUAAAUAUGUACAUGCAAUUUUAAGGUUUUAAAAAACGACAUUUUUAUUGGAUUAUCUCCCUUUGUACAAUAGAAAUUCAGAUUUUAUCAUCACUGUCUCAGGUACUCAUGAUCAAAAUGACUUAUAUUGUUACCAGCAUGCAAGUAAAAGGUUGCAACUUUCUUAACUUUGUUGACCUGUAGAAUACAUAUUCUGAAUGUCAAUACUUAAGAUUUUUCAAUAUGAUGAACUUGACAUUAAAUUUCAUAUAAUUUUUGAGUAACCAGAAUAAAACUUUAGUAAUUAGCAAGCUGCAAUAACCAAAAUAGGAUUACUAGGAAGAAUUGAAAGGAUUUUACUCUUUAAAGUAAUAAGGACAAGUGUACUGAAGGAAUGUGAAAUAAAAAAAAUACCAAAAAAAAAUUGUUUUUGGCAGCUCCCCCCUUUUUUAAGCCUGAUGCUUACUAUUGUUUGUGACGCAAAAAUCCAUUUCACUUUGAAUUUUCUAUUUGAAUUACCUAUUUUGCAUAAUACAAUCUGUAUAAUUCAAGUAUUUAUUUUUGAAUGCUUGGUUUAAUUGAAAUAUGAGACUUUCCUCAAUUUAUUGCGAAAAUACACAAAAAAAAGGGGGGAGGCUAUCUAAAUAAUCAAUAAAAUCUAUAAAAUUAAUUUGCAACCGAAAUCCCUUCAAAAUAUUUUGAACCAAAGAAAAUGCAAUGUAUGUCUGACAUUUAGGGUAAAUUAAAGCGACUUUUGGGCUGUAGUGUCUGUUUUAGUGUGAUUUGAUGAAAAGGCCAUAUUUUUUAACACUUUAUGUGUUUUGCCACGCCCUUAUUUUCUAUAUAUAUCAUUAUGUUUAAUAAAAUUAUGUGAUUUAUACUUCAUACACAUCCUAUCUGUGCUAUUAAAGUAUUUAAACACUCAGAAGUUUUAUAGUAUUUAUUUUUAUUUGAGAAAUCUAUGAAAUCUAUGCAUUUCAGUAUAUGCAUCUAUAAAUAAACUCGGAAAUACCCUAAAUCUAUAUCGUUGCCAUGGUUACCAGCAGUGUAAGGGCUUCAAACUUGCAUGACUUUCAUAUAAGGUCAACCUGAACAUGUCAGCAAAGUUUUAUCAAAAUCAAACAACUUUGCAUGGAGCACCAUCUGCAUGGUUUUCUCAUAGAUGUCCAUUUAAGACGUAUCA
Long non-coding RNA from Mytilus trossulus (common blue mussel), 2964 nucleotides. RefSeq lists it as uncharacterized. NCBI's taxonomy places the organism in Eukaryota, Metazoa, Mollusca, Bivalvia, Mytilida, Mytilidae. The transcript is spliced from 3 exons. The record is from RefSeq and is a predicted model, not a curated record.